UGCCAUUAUCUAGAGGUUUUCUUCCGGUAAUCCGCUCUAAAAGUGUAAUACCAAAAGAAUAAAUAUCAGACUUAUCGGAAUACUUCCCCAAUUUCAUCGUUAAUGGAUUUUCAUAACUGCAAUAGAAUUAUCACAAUUAAAAUUCAUGUAGAUUUUCUUUAAGAAAAUAAUAUUUUCGAAUUAAGGAGUCUUAAUUUAUUUUUAUGUGUUUUUUAUUUUAAUUUUUAUUUUAGUGUAGAUAAUAAUGAGAGUGAAAAUAAAAAAGAUAAUAAUAGCAAUGCAAUUCGUUUAUAUAAGAAAAAAAAUAGCAAUGCAAUUAAAUGUAGAAAGAAAGUUAUAUCUCACGUACACUUGAGUUCCCAUAACUGAUGAUUUGGACAUGUGAGUAGCAGCGUCCGUAAAAAAAUGAGCAAGUCCAAAAUCUGUAAUCUAAACAAAUGAUUUAAGUUGGUUAAUAAAUUUAUUAUGCAAUUUAUAUAUAAUGUAUAUAUUAAUUUAAAGGUGAAUAAGUUAUUUUCGCACUUAAUUUCAUGAAUAGACUCUUUUUUUUUUUUAAUUUGAUAAAUUACACUAUUUUUCGUACUGCAAAAAGGUUUAAGAUUAAAUCAUGAAAAAAAAAGCAAGAAACCUAUUAAGGUUGAUUAGAGAAACUGUUUUCAGUUCUUUCAAGUGUGUUGCAUUUUCUGUAAACCUAUCUUGAGUCAAGCCUAUUGUACCCACUGUACAUAUACAUGUAUUACUACUGAUCCAAAAUAUACAAGAAAUUAGGGUUCUAAUCGAAUCGAAUUGAGUCAAAUUUUAAUAAGCUCAAAUUCUAUUAGAAAAUAAAUUUAAAAGCUCAAAUUCAAGUUCAAGCUCGACUCAAGUUUCAUUUAUAAGUUCAAACUCGAUUCUUAAAAUAAAUAUUAAAUUCGAGUUCGGUUCGAACUCGAUUCAUAAUAAACUUGUUUAUCACAUUAAUGAAUCAACUCAAACUCUAUUCAAAAAGUUCGAAUUUGAGCUCAUUUAGUGAUAUGGAGUAACUAGUCUUGGAUUUUACGGCAGUCUUGGACUUUACGAUAGACUUGGACCAAACCUAAUUUUUGCUGCCGACGUCCGAUGAAAACCUACGAUAACUUUUCGAAAAGGAAAUUUCGAGACACUCGACUUUCAAAAGUGUGACAAGGGCAGCAGACCUAUCACUAAGUUCGAUAUGGAAAUUACCUCGUUUAGGGGUCAAUUUUACAUUUUAAUUAUUUUUUUAGAUAUUUUUAUAAUUUUGCAUAUUAUGAUUUUUUUUUUCUAUUAUAAAUAGUCUCCCUUAGCUAUUAGAAGCUCACUUGUCAAUCUUUGAAGAAUUUCAAUAAGAUUGUUCAUCUUUUCAGCAUAUCUUUUCUCUUAUAUCGUUUUAGCCAAACGAUAUUGAUUAAAACUUCUGACGGAGUCUAAUUAGUCCUUUAUCAGAUUGGUAUCAGAGCCAAGCUUGACCAUGGCAGACAACCAAGAGGUGCAACUUGCUGUGAUUGAGGCAUCUUUGGCAGAAUUGAGGGAGAUGAUAGGACAGUUGGCCCUGCAGCAGGGAAUCCACCAAUCCACUGCCCUCGCACACCCCCAGCCAGUCACCAAUCCUGUGGCCGCCAAUUUUGUGGUCGCCAAUUCUGUACCUGCAAAUCCCCAACAGAAUUAUCAAAAAAGUUACAAGAUCAAAAUAGACCUUCAAAGCUUUUCUGGUUCGUUAAAUGUGGAAUCUGUUCUUGAUUAGCUGGUAGAGUUGAAUGUUUCUUCGAAGUUAUGAACGUGAAAGAAGAUCGUAAGGUUUCGAUUAUGGCCUAUAAGUUAAAAGGAGGUGCAGCAGCCUGGUGGAAUUCGAUUCAAAAUGAAUGCUAUCGGAGGAGGCUGGAACCCAUACGAAACUAGGUGUUGAUGAAGCAGAAGAUUGAACAACAGUUCUUGCCUAGCGAUCACGCUCAGGUUUUGUAUAUCUGAUAACCAUUCAAAAGGGAGCUUGUGAAAUUUAUGAUCCUUCAAGAGAAACUAUUGUAAUUAUUUAAAUGAGCUCAAACAGGUUGUUUCCAUUGCAAAUUCAAGUUGCCCAAACCUGUUUGAUGGUUGAAAUGAAGAAUCCAUCUUGGCUUUGGUAUUUCUGUUACGGCCACUUGAAUUUCGGUGGAUUAAGAACUCUCCAACAGAAGAAUAUGGCGAAUGGUCUUUCUCAAAUUACUAUUCCAUCUCGAGUUUAUGAAGAAUGUGUAUUUGUAAACAACAUUGCUCUCAAUUUCCAAAAGGAAAAUCAUAGAGAGCGAAAGAUUUUUUAGAGCUGGUCCAUUCCGAUAUAUGCGGUCCAAUCAAUUCAACUUCCAAUGGGGGUAAGAAAUAUUUAAUCACUUUCAUUGAUGAUUUUUCUUGGAAGACUUGGAUUUACUUUUUGUAGGCUAAAUUAGAAGCUUUUUGUGCAUUUAAAAACUUCAAAGUGCAUGUUGAAAAUGAGUAAGGGAAGGCAGUUAAAACUUUCUAUACCAAUCAUGGUAGAAAAUAUUGUUGAAAGGAAUUUGAACAAUUUUGUGAUUAAUAAAUCAUACGAAGGGAACUCAUAGCUUCCUAUUUACCAUAAUAAAAUGGCGUAUUGGAAAGAAAAAAAUAAAACAAUCCUUAAUAUGGUGAGAAGAUUGUUGGCUAAAAGCAAUGUUCCGAAGAACUUUUGCCCUAAGGCAGUUAAUUGGAGUAUCCAUGUACUGAAUAGAAGUCUAACAUUUUCAAUACAGAAUAUGACUUCAAAGGAAAUAUGGAGUGGAAGAAAAUCAGCUGCUGAUCAUUGUUGAAUUUUCGAUUGCAUCAAAUAUGCAUAUAUAUCUGAUGAGAAAAGAAAAAAGUUAGAUGAUAAGGGUGAAAAAUGUGUCUUUCUUGGCUUAAAUAAAGUCUCUAAAGCUUACAAGUUAUUAAAUUCAGACACUAAAAAGAUUGUGAUCAGUAGAGAUGUGAGUUUUUAUGAAGAAAACACAUGGAAUUAGGAUAAAAAUGAGUCACAACAGCAACCUAUAUCAGUCUCCUUUGAAGAAAUAGAGAACCAAAAUGAUCAAUUUGUACAACUUUCAGAAUCUGACUUGCAACAUCAAAUUGCUGGUCACCGGAAAUCCAACCUAUUGAAAGAGGUCAGCCUCGUUCUACUAGAAAACCAACUUGAUUGACAGACUAUGUAAAUCGCAAUAUAAUGUUGAGUGUUCUAAGACGGUUAAGUUUACUCCUUUUAUCAUUUUAUCAUUUAUCUGAUCUUACCUUUAAUUUAAUUUUUGUGAGUAAAUUUAUUAAAUACUUAAACUGUUGUGUUUUUUUUUUUUCUCCUGACCACUGUUUUUUUCAAAAUCUUAUGAUAAAAAAAAUUAUUGGUAAAUGGCAUGUAUCUGAUGGUAUAUACAUUUUGGAUAUAUAGAUGCCUCAAUAAAUUACUUGUUCUAGUGUAAUCUCCACCUAUAGUUAUGAAAAUAAUUAUAUUACACAUAUUUUUAAUAAAUAGAUCCCAUCUUUAUAAAUUAGUAUAAUGUUAAAAAUUAAAAAUAUAAUAUGUGAUGACCGCUGGAUUUCCCUACCCCCAAUCCUGGGUCCAGAUUACGGCCACGGCCCAUGAAAGGAAGGCCUGCAUGCCCUCUCAAGACAAGCCCAGAUCAUCAGACCCCUGAGGCCGGACUCCACCAGAUUCUUCCUCAUCGAGAUCGGCCCAGCCCAUAUAACCUUCCCAUGGAUUCCUUCUCCUCCUGGGUUCAGCGUCCAACCCAGCUCUUGGCCCAGCCCAGAAUCCAGAACGAGACUCAUCAUACAGCCUGGCAGAUCCGCUCGAACGUAGCACGGGGGAGAAUCAGAGGCCGUUACGCAUGGAGCAGGCGCCUGAUUCCCUCGUACGCCCAUAUCUGUAUAGCAGAGACGCGUGGCCCAAUCAUGGGAGAGCCGUUAUACGUCACCAGCAAGCAGAACGAAAGGAUAAAAGGGAUACCCCUUUAGAGAGAUGGACCAAGCUUUAUUUUUCAAUACCAAAACCAUUGUAAAACCUAUUCUAUUGGAUCUCAGAUCAUCAAUUGGCGCCGUCUGUGGGAAACGACGGAGAUCUUUUCAUCACCGGAGUUUUCACUCUUAACAAAACCCACUGAGAUCCACGAUGGCUAAUCACCAAGAAAGUAACCUUAACGUCCCAAAUGACCUAAGCUCUGCCCAAGAGGGGCAACAAUUCUCCUUUUCUAGUCCUACGACAUUAAACAACCAAACGCCUGUUCCUCUUAAUCCCUCGCCAAGUUUGGCAGGGAAUACUCCCGCUGUUACCUUGUCUAACCAAGAUCUUCAAAACAUGGCUUUCCAGUUACAGAAUACCGCCCACUGGUUGGGGCAGAUAAUGCAACAUAGAGGCCUCAACACCCCAGUAAAUACACUCCCGGUUGUAGAGGAACCUCAGACCAAUGACCCCCGACUUGCAUCUAACCGUCUUUAAACCAGCAGCCGCGAUACUGAAGAAAGAGGAAGAAAAGCCGGCGAAGAGGAAGGACCGGAGGCCCGAAUCCAUGCGAGGAGGGCGAGAGAGAUGAUAGAAAAUGAGGAGGUGGAUAACUAUUCCGCCGAAAUAACCGAGUGGACGGGAACUGAAGCAGAGGAGGAGGAGUACCGCCUGGAGAAAAAACCCAGCCCAGAAGAUGAGAAGGUGGACCAAAAGUUGAAGAAAUUGAGAGAACAGCUCCUCGCCGAGCUAGGUAAGAAAGACCAAAGCCAAACCUCUUUGCCUACUUCUUCCCCUUUCUCAAAAUGGGUGCAGCAAGAGACUGUCCCUAAGAAGUUUAUGAUGCCGUCAAUGGCGGCCUAUGACGGAGCUGGUAACCCGAGAGAGCACGUCAUGAACUAUAAGACCUUCAUGGAGUUGCAAACUCUGUCAGAUGCCUUAAUGUGUAAAGUGCUCCCAACGACGCUCUCGGGACCAGCGCGGGCGUGGUUCAACAGCCUUGAGGCCGGAAGUAUCAGAAGUUUCGGAGACCUAGCCACUCGCUUCAUCAGUCGAUUCAUAGCCGGGGUGCCAGCAGAGAGGAAGACGAGCUACUUGGAGACAAUAAGACAAAGAGGGGGCGAAUCACUCAGAGAGUAUGUCGCUCGUUUCAAUACGGAGGCCCUGCAGAUUCCCGAACUCGAUGAAGGAAGGGCGGUAGAGGCCAUGCAAAAGGGAACAACCUCUGCCGAGUUCUUCGGUUCCUUAAGCAGGAAGCCUCCGACCUCCCUGGCUGAGCUGAUGAAGAGGGCGGAGAAGUAUAUAAGGCAGGAUGACGCCUUAGUAACAAGCCGAUUUGCCAAAGGAAUGACAGGAAAAGAAAAAGCCUCAGAAGAAAGGAGGCCAGAGAAACAAGAAAAGAAACACGGCAAGAGGCCCGAGCCGUACAAGCAGGCCUGGGAGCGAAGGGAUCAAAGGCCUCCCCGAGACCAUGAGCCAAGAUUACCUCCCCCUUGGGUCCUUGAGAAGCCGACUCCACUAAAUGCGUCCAGAGCCGAGGUGCUCAUGGCUGUCCAAGAUAAGAAAUUCUUCCAGUGGCCCAAACCUAUGAAGUCGGAAGCAGACCAACGGAAUCCUGACAAAUAUUGUCAGUAUCAUCGGACGCAUGGCCACGAUACCAACAACUGCUUCCAUUUGAUAGCAGAAAUCGAGAGGUUGAUAAAGAGGGGGCAUCUCAAGAACUUUGUGAAGAAAUCAGAGGGACAAAGGCCUCAAUCCAGUCCGGCGGUUCAGAUGCCGAGGAGAACAGGAACUGGACCAGUGAACGAUGGAUCCAGUGGGACCAUCCACAUGAUUGUUGGAGGAACGGGAGGUUGGAUGGGCCGCCGAGGGAAGAAGAGAAAUCGGGAAGGAGAGAGCACCAGUACUGAGGUCAUGCAAAUCGUUGACCACUCUCCCGUGACCAUCACCUUCUCUUCAGAAGAUGCUCAGGGUAUUCAGACGCCCCAUGAUGAUGCGCUCGUCAUUGAGGCCGUCAUUCAUAAUUAUCGGGUAAAGAAGGUCUUAGUGGAUGACGGGAGCAAAGUCAACUUGCUACCAUAUCGGGUUUUUCAACAGAUGGGAAUUCCGGAAGAACAGUUGGUCCGAGAUCAGGCACCAAUCAAGGGGAUCGGAGGAGUACCGGUGCUCGUAGAAGGGAAGGUGAAGUUGGCUCUCACCUUAGGUGAAGCACCCAAAACUCGUACUCACCACGAGGUAUUUUUAGUGGUCAAACUUCCGUUGAGCUAUAAUGUGAUCUUGGGGAGGCCUGCGCUGUUCAAUUUCGAAGCUGUCACCAGUAUCAAGUAUUUCGCGCUUAAAUUUCCAACAGAAGAAGGAGUGGGAAUAGUCCGGGGCAGUCAGGAAGAGGCAAGGGCAGUAUACUUAGCCACAAUAGCAGAACCAAGCUCCACUAGAAAAGCUCUUGACUCGGAAGUUCUAGAGGUUCGGGAUGAGAAAACAUAAGCCAGGACAGAACCGGUGGGGGAGCUGGAGAUCUUCCCUUUGUCAGAAGCAGAGGCAGAAAAAGUCUUCAGUCUCAACGCCGGCCUCACUGAAGAACAAAAAGCUGAAGUCAUGGCCCUGAUCCGAGGACAUGCGUCUAGUUUCGCCUGGAAACCCUCCGACAUGCCUGGAAUCGACCCUAAAGUAAUGACACACAAGCUGAAUGUACUCCCCAAGGCCAAGCCAGUAAAGUAGAAGAAGAGAGUAGUAGGAAGAGAGAAGCAGCAGGCCACCAGGGAGGAGGUGCAGAAACUCGAGGAGGCAGGCUUUAUUAGGGAAGUUAUGUACCCGCAAUGGCUAGCAAAUCAUGUAUUAGUCAAAAAAGCCAAUGGCAAAUAUAGGAUGUGCAUAGAUUUUACUGACCUAAAUAAGGCCUGCCCUAAAGAUUGUUAUCCACUUCCUGAUAUUAAUAAAAUGGUCGACUCUACGGCCGGUUUCGAUUAUAUGUCUUCUUUGGAUGCUAUGUAUGGUUAUCAUCAAAUCCCAAUGGACAGGUCGGAUGAGGAAAAGACCUCGUUCAUAACUGAAGAUGGAACUUACUGCUACAGAGCUAUGCCAUUCGGAUUAAGAAAUGCCGGGGCAACUUACCAAAGGUUGAUGAAUAAAAUCUUCAAAAAUCAGAUUGGCAGAAAUGUAGAGGUCUAUGUAGAUGAUAUGGUGGUCAAAAGCCCAAAUUUCCAGCAGCACGUAGCAGACUUGAAGGAGGUAUUCGGGGUAUUAAACCAGUACAAAAUGAAGUUGAACCCAGCAAAAUGUGCUUUCUUUAUUAGAGGAGGAAAAUUCUUGGGAUUCAUGGUGAGCGGAAAAGGCAUCGAGCCUAACCCGGAGAAGGUAGAAGCCAUAUUGAGAAUGCCAGAGCCGACCUGCGUAAGGGACGUCCAAAGACUAACCGGAAGAGUAGUGGCACUCAACCGAUUCAUGUCAAGGUCAGCAGAAAAAUGCUUACCAUUUUUCAAAAAAUUGAGGAAGGUGCCAAACUUUGAAUGGACAGAAGACUGCCAAAAAGCCUUCGCAGAGCUUAAGGGAUAUCUCAGCUCGCCCCACGUGCUCAGUAGUCCUAUGAAAGGGGAAGAACUCCUGAUAUAUUUGGCAGCCUCAAAACAAGCAGUCAGCGCAGUGUUAGUAAGGGUGGAAGAAGGGGAGCAGAAACCCGUUUUUUACGUCAGCAAGGUACUCAGAGAUACCGAGGUCGGAUAUUCGAACAUUGAAAAAAUGGCUUACGCCCUAUUGCUAGCAGUCCGGAAAUUCAAAGUAUACUUGGAAGGCCACCAAGGAGUUGUGAUGACAGACCAACCCUUAAAGAAGAUCUUACGCAGGCCAAAAACUUCGGGUCGGAUGUUGGCUUGGUCCGUAGAGAUCAGCCCUUACUGUCUAGAAUAUCGACCUAGGACAGCCAUAAAAUCUCAAGUUUUGGCUGACUUCAUAGCAGAGUGCUCAUUCAACGAGGAGUAGGGAGGAUCAUCCUCGGGGAUAACAGGACAGGAACGUGAGGGGGAGCCUCAUCCAGAGUUUAACUGGAAGUUGUAUGUCAACGGAGCAUCAGGCACUGAGGGCAGUGGUGCCGGAAUAAUGCUUAAGGGGCCAGAGGAUUUUAAGGUAUGUUACGCCUUACGUCUAGAGUUCAAAGCCUCGAAUAAUGUGGCAGAAUAUGAAGCCCUGAUAAAUGGGAUGUUGGUGGCACUGGAGGUGGGAGUAACCGAUCUCGAGAUAAACAGCGACUCUCAGCUGGUGAUCAACCAAGUAACAGGGAUGUAUCAGGCUAGAGACCCCCUUAUGCAGAGUUACCUGGCUAAAGUAAAAACUUUAGAAGCCGAGCUCACAAGUCGAGGAGUAACCAUCAGGUUUCAAAGAAUACCCCGAGAGGAAAAUGAGGAAGCAGAUCUGCUUAGCCGAUUAUCCAAAGAAGAAUUGGAACAGCUUCCCGAUGAAGUGUACAUACAACAUGUCCAUACACCUGCUUUUAAUAAAACUAAUACGAUAUUGCAGGUGGAACAGAAUCCGACUUGGAUGACCCCUUACUUAGAAUACCUGGAGAAAGGUAAACUCCCCGAGGAUAGAGAUGAAGCCAAAAAGAUAGCAGCUCGUGCCGCUAACUACCAAGCAAUAAGGGGGACCUUGUACAGAAAAGGAAAGUCCAGUCCGUGGCUCCGAUGCGUGAGCCCGGAAGAGGCUACGAAGGUGAUGGAAGAAAUACAUAGAGGCCUGUGUGGAGCCCACGAGGGAGGAGGGACAUUAGCUAAUAAAGUAUUCCGGCAAGGGUAUUAUUGGCCCACUGUUAAAAAAGAAGCAGAAGAGUUCGUCCGAAGGUGCGACGUAUGCCAGAGAUUUGCCAAUGCCAUCAAGACUCCAGCCACUCCUCAGGCCAACAUAUCCAGUCCAUGGCCUUUCUCGCAAUGGGGAAUUGACAUCCUGGGACCUUUCCCCAAAACCACGGGGCAGAGGAAAUUUGUAGUGGUGGCUGUAGAGUACUUCUCAAAAUGGCCAGAGGCAGAAGCAAUAGCCACAAUCACAGCUCGAAAGAUGAUAGAUUUUGUGUGGGGGCAUAUCAUCUGCAGAUUUGGUGUACCCAGAGUGCUUAUUUCAGAUAAUGGCCGACAGUUUGAUUGCAGCACCUUCAGAGCUUUCACCACAAACAUGGGCAUCUGGCAUAAAUUCUCCUCUGUGGCUCAUCCCCAAACUAACGGCCAAACAGAGGUCACCAACAGAGCCAUCCUACAAGGAUUAAAAAAGCGACUAGAUGGGGCAAAAACAAAUUGGGCAGAAGAACUCAACAGCAUCCUGUGGGCACUCCGAACCACCCCUAGAGCACCCACUAAAGAAACGCCUUUCGCACUUGCCUAUGGUACAGAGGCCGUAGUCCUAGUUGAGUUGCAGAUUCCUACUCAUCGAGUCCAAUUUGCUAGUGAGAGCGCUAACGAUGACAAGCUAAGAAGCAACCUGGAUGCCCUUGAGGAAAUCAGGGAAGAAGCCCAAAUCCGAACUGCCGCCUAUCAACAACGGGCAGCACGAUACUACAACCAAAAGGUUAGAGAAAGAAGCUUGAAAGUAGGAGACCUGGCCUUAAGAAACCUGGAAGCCACAGGAAAAAGGGCGGCAACUGGUAAGCUAGCACCGACCUGGGAGGGCCCUUUCAAGGUAACAAAAGUAGUCCGGCCAGGAGUAUACCGGAUUGAAGAUAUGCAAGGGAACCAUGAGCCCCACGCUUGGAAUAUUCAACAUCUAAAGAGGUAUUUCCCCUGAUAUAGUUGUAGAAAAAAACAUUGUAUUCUGAUAAAUAUGAUGGAAACAAGUUAUUUAUACAAUGAGAUUAUCUUUAUUAUCAUGAAUAAUAUUCCUCCAGGAAAAAGAAAAGUAGGUGUACAGGAUCCCCUAGAUUUCCUGACACCACNNNNNNNNNNNNNNNNNNNNNNNNNNNNNNNNNNNNNNNNNNNNNNNNNNNNNNNNNNNNNNNNNNNNNNNNNNNNNNNNNNNNNNNNNNNNNNNNNNNNNNNNNNNNNNNNNNNNNNNNNNNNNNNNNNNNNNNNNNNNNNNNNNNNNNNNNNNNNNNNNNNNNNNNNNNNNNNNNNNNNNNNNNNNNNNNNNNNNNNNNNNNNNNNNNNNNNNNNNNNNNNNNNNNNNNNNNNNNNNNNNNNNNNNNNNNNNNNNNNNNNNNNNNNNNNNNNNNNNNNNNNNNNNNNNNNNNNNNNNNNNNNNNNNNNNNNNNNNNNNNNNNNNNNNNNNNNNNNNNNNNNNNNNNNNNNNNNNACACAAAGAAGACCGGGAUCACCUAAGAACUCCCGGGAAAACAAAGUAAAAAACAGCUGGAGAAGGCCUUAAGACCAUCUUUAAGCAAAAAUUCUCCAUAUCAUAUGCAGGGACAAUGCAUAAAAAUAUAGUUCCGACCUCACAAAAAGAUGCGUCCAAAGGCAUCAAGGAAAGGCCAAACUCCGAUCUCCCGAAGGAGCUCGGAGCACUAUGGCCAAAAGGUACUAAACUUAAAAAGUGAUCGCUGACGCUAAGCUCAGCUUACAAAGAGGCCUAGACAGCAAAUAGCCCGGAAGAUAUCCAGGGAUAUACGAAGCAUCACAAGCCAUAGGCGUAAAAACCUAAGUGAAGAGUAAAGAGCCGAGCUCUCAGCUCGGAUAAAAAAAAAAAAAAAACAUCCAUACAAAGCUAAAGGACCGCGCUCAUAACUCGAGUCCGUCGAAUAGACAUCCGAGCUCAUAACCAAGGAAGCAGGAAAAAAUUAUUUACCUCCUCAACACUCAUGUAAUGAAAGGUUGAGGAGAUCAAGGGGGCAAUUUAGGAAGAAAGGACCUCAGCUUCAUUUCCUGACAAGACAGAACUAAAAGCAAAAAGGCAGCCCUGCUAAUCACCAGUAGAAGGUAUGUGAUCUGACUUAUAAGUUCAGACAAUUAGCUAAGAAUCGAGCUCAUGACUAAAGGCUAAUCUAGUUCAGAAAAAGCUUAUGAAUAAAAAUAUACAAUGUCAGCAUUACAGUUACGAGAAGGAGAGAUAAAUUAUAAAGCGAAAAAUAGUUCAAAGAAAUUAAAAUUUCAUUAAGAAUACAGGACUGUUACAAUCUACUUAUCAGACGAGGUUGAAGGAAAGAUAGUCCUUAAAGGACUUACAUUUGUAAGAACAUCCUCGCCUACAUUAUGUUUAUUUACAACUAUAUCUGGAGGAAGCCCGGCAUCUUUUGGGUCAGAUGUCUUAGUAUCAACAACAGGGGCAACCUCCAACCCUGGAUUGAGGUCCUCCCCUUCAGAUUCGGGGUCGCCUCCUUCAGACUCAAGGGCUCCCAGGUCCUCCCCAUCCGACUCGGAUUUUUCUUCGGAAGAUACAGCCGACGGACCUCCAACGCGACAGUCCCCUCUAGGCAUAGGGAAAUCAUCUUCUCCAUACAACAUCGGCUCACCAUCAGAGUCCACUUCGGCCAUACGAAGCUUUGCCAGAGGAGUAUCAGGAGCAUGUCUAGCCUCUCUUAUACCGCGAUUGUAACCAGUUACAUACAUGCGGAAGGCUUUCUGAAGAACAGUAGAUUUCAUGUCUGCAGAGGCUUUAUAUUCGUCAAGAUGUGUUUCACAGGCCUCAGCUAUAAAUGCCUUCAACUUAGGAGAAUCCUUGUAGUCCUGAAGGUGAGCUUCACAGGCCUGCUCAAUCUUUCUUUUCAGCUCCUCCGACUCCUGAUAUUCUGCUAGACACCUCUCGCGUUCUAGCAGGACCUUGCCUUCAGCAUGUUUCACCACCUCGAGCAGGGCCGAACAUUUACGUUCCAAAGUCCUGACUUCAUGGUUAAGCUGUUGAUGGCGAAGUUGGGACUCCUCCGCCGAUGAAGCCAGGACUCUGAUACGUUCAGAGCUCGUGCUCAGCUCCUGCUCAAGGACUUCCACCCGAGCUAAGGCCCUCUCCUUCUGAACAUUCACCUCAUUCAGGCGAACUUGAAGUCCUUCAGAAUCAGCCUUUAAGGCUUCAUAUUGGCACCGGACUUCAUCCCUUUGACUUACAACCUCAUCUCUUUCCUAAAGAGCCGCUGUCAUAGAGGACAGCUGCUUUAAAACUUCUACACAACGAACUUCCACCUCAGCUGUCCUCUCAUCAGACUCUUGGAGAACCCUGCGAGUACGAGACAACUCUACCUCCAGGGAUUUGGUGUGCUCUACUGCCUCAGCCGCUCUGCCUUCAGCUCUUUUAAGGGCCUCCAAGGCAGAGUGCAACUCCACCUGGAGGGACUGGGAAUGUUCCCGGGCAGCUAUAAGAUUGCCUCUGGUGUCAUUGGUGGCAGAUAUAUUCUCCUCCAGGCGCGCCUCUUCAAUCCGGCGAUCCACGGACUCUCGGAGGGAGUGGUCGCGAGUGUCCACCUCCAUAAAAAGACCCGUCACCUAGUAAGAGAGGACAACCAUCAAAAGAAAGAAAUAAAGAAGACCAAAAGAGAGAGAAAAAUAAUUUACCAUCAAAAGCAUCUCCCUGAUUGUAUUCCCAAGCACUUCACGAGAUCGGGAUAGGAAGGAUGCUUGCUCCUUGGUAGAACUGGCUAAAAAACCAGUAAGGGCAAGCAGGCGUGGAUCCGAGGCCUCUGUAGCUCCGCCGAACAUCCGUUCUCUAAGAAAUUCGGCGACGGCAUUGGCCGGAGAUUGAGAAGUGAUGUCCGCUGCGUUCAGAGUGUCGUUGUCAGUAGAAGACAAUAGAGGUACAACAGGAACAUUUUUUCCCUUCCCAAUAGGAGGAAGGGCAGGAGAAGAUCCUUUGGAAACCCUGGGCUUCUUCUGGACAGGAGGAGGGGCAGGUGUUCCAUGAAACGCUGGACGCUUGUCCCCGGUUUUCCCUACGGAGUCUCCAGACUCAGACCUGACCCCCACAGGGGCAGGGGCAUCCUUGGCAGGCGCCUCCAAGACGUCAUCCUCCACAAGGACGAUCUCUUUUCCCUUCCCAGGGGCCUCCUCAUCCUCGGUAAUGGGGGACUUAAGUUUUCCCCCUGACACCUCUUCAGAAGAACGAGCAAGACCCAACUGUGCCUGUUCGACGACCUCGGUCUGCUCCACAAUGGCUAGAGAAACUCCCCUCACACCCUCUGAAGAACCUUGAGCAGACUUAGACUCUUCAAUAGGCUUAAUAGUCAAAGCCGACUUGCCACGACUAGAGGGCCGAGAUGACUUAGAGCCUCGAGAGCUCAGCUUAGGAUCUCGAGAGGAAGCCUUGGUAGGAGGUCGGCUAACUUUCUUGGAAGAAGCAACUUGAGCUACCUCUGCAGCGACCUCAGGCACAGAACGCCCAGCUCGAAGGGCAUCAAAAAUUGCAUGCAUAUUAUCCCGAAACAGGACUAAAUUCUUCGGAUGCCUAAUCUCUUCCAUUUCAACGACAGAAGCUGCAAAAACAAGAAACUAUAAAGGAUUAGCGCAUUUUAUAAUAUCACUUACAACAAAGAAACAGUCAUUGGACAAGGCACUAUACCCGUGUCCCGGAUAUCCCUAAGAUUAGACACGAACAUACACUUCUCGAUGUCAUACUUCUUUUCAACAGAAGUCAGUCGAAGCAAUCCCACCUGCUCAAUAAGGCUCAACCGGGGCAGGUCAUUGCAGCCCGGAGGAACAUCUUCCCAACUUAGAUCCACUCCCCAUGAUAAGGCGGAUUCUAAUUUCAGCUCCGCCACAAGGAAAUUCUCAACCCAUCCCUUUAUGGAAUCCUUGUAGCCCGUGAAAAGAGACAACCCACUACGGGGGGAAAAAUAAUAGAAAUUCUGAACCGCCCUAACGAGACGGAAGAAAGUGACGAACAGACAGGCCGUGGGUGUGAAACCCCAGCUUCGGCAGAUGGAUUCGAAACAACUCAUGAACAGAAUAGAAUUUGGGGAUAACAUCCGAGGGGUUACCCCGAAGUAUUGGAAAACCUCGACAAAAAAAGGAGUAAAAGGGAAAGGUAGACCGAAAUCCCUUUGUUUGAGAAAAAAGACUAUACAACGCCCCCUCUGGGGAUCCAUCAAACCAGGGGGGAGGGUUUGGAAGAACUAUCCUUUCAUUUUGGAAAGGAGCUCGAAUAAGAUAAAGCGGAGUAUCUUGAUACCUCCGAGAAAUAUGUUUAUUUAUGGUCGAAGAAGUGAUAUGCGACCUAAGAUUAGCGACAUCCGGGAGCUUUGGACCCUCCAUGGAAGAGCAGAGAAGCGUACUUGAAAACGCAAUAGGGUGAAAAAAAUAGAAGAAGUUGCAGGAAAACAGAGAGCAGAAGAGAGCGAAUUUCUUCAGAAGACAGAGAGAAUUCGAAGUGAAAGGCAAUAAUGAGAUGAAACGUUGUUCUGAGCAGUUUUGUCUUGGAGCGGCGCGAUCAUUAAUUGCUCUCGAAGUUUACCCUCUCAACGGUUAGAUAAUAACUGGCGAGAAGGUAAAGGGGCAAGGAGAUGACCGCUGGGCUUCUCCACCCCUACAAAGGGCCAGGCCCACGACAAUAGCCCAUCAGCCGAAGGCCCACACGCUAUUCGCAUAAAACAAACUCAAGUUGUCAAAACUUUGAAACCGAGCUCCAGUCGAAUCUCUCCCUCAGGACGACCUGACACGCAAAAUGCACAUCAUCACCGCUCAGGCAGUAAAAACUAAGGAAAAAGAGUAAGUCAUAGAAAGACCCAAGGAGACAAACAGGGGGAAGCAUGAUAAAGGUCAGACCAGCCUAUCACCUAAGAAGGAUCAUCAUUAAACAAAGGCCAGGAGCCUAGAACGAAGCGAUGAAGACGCCUUGGAAUCUUACAAAGUUAUGGGUCAGAAGCUUAACCCAUUGAUUAAAAGCAAAGCUCACAGGUCGGUUAGUCCAGCUCGGAAAAAGUAAAAUAGAAAGCUAAGGGAACUUAGAGCUCGGAUCAUUGAACACAGACAGAGCUCACAGGUCGGAUUAGUCUCGCUUGGACAGAGUAAACCGAAAGCAAGCUCACAGGUCGGUCGGUACAGCUCGGAAAAAGCAAACUGAAAACUCAGACUGACUAAAUGGAUUCCAGGUCGGAUCAAUUAAAAAGCAAGAAGGAAAAAACAAUAUCGUAGACUUCUCAGAGAAAACCACGAAGAACAGUCUCAACAUCUCAUUCAUAAUAAAGAAGGAACAGUUCGGAUAUGAACGAAAAAAUGAAAGUUUCAUUACAGCACGUUACGAAUACCCACAUUACAGAAUAAAAAGCUAUCCUUAGAGGAUUUACAUGAUCAGAUACGUCGUCUAUGUUUACAUCACUAUCACCUAUCAUACUAUCUUAGUUUUCGAUACAAAGGAACUCUUGAAUACGGAAAACGAGCUCUGUAGGUCGGUCGAGCCCCGCUUCGUUAUUAUAGGGGAACUGAACAAGUUGAUUCCCAUAAGCAUUUCUCACUGUUCCCCUAUAGGUAAACAUUCGGUUGCCCAAAUGUGAUACACGGUACAUACGAACAAGCUCAGAUAUUAUAUGCUAUUCGUAUGCCACGCAUGAAAAACAUAAGUCUUCGAGUUACGGCUUCAAGAAGAUCACAGAGCAUAUAUUCGAAGGCAUCGACGGAAGCUUGACUGAGUGCAGCAGAUCUCUGCCCCUCAUAAUACGGGUACUCCACACCAAAGGGGACAAUAAAUUGAUCAUUUUCGCCACCUCCAUUUAUAUCAAAAGCAGACAACAAGGACAUCGGGGAAAUUUCCUUCUUGAAGGAAGGAAAAGUCACAACAGACCCCUCAACAGCCCAUAGCCUCUUUGGAGCUCGAACAUUAACUAGAGGAGGAGGCCAGUCCGACGAUCCGGGUAAAACAAUUUCAACGACCUGCCAAAUGGCUCCACCCAUCAACCGCCCUACUAGGAGGACCUCAGAAGCAACCUUCAGACUCCCUCGAGGUAAUAUCAGAUUUUCGAGAGGUUUGGACUGACCCAUCUUUAUCUCAGGUACCGCAAAAAGUUCCAAGCAGAGACAAGUCAGGAUAAUCUUUUGUCGAGAUAAUGAAAGCAAGAUUAAAGCAAACUCCUGGGGCAACAAAGCAAUGAAGCCCCAGGCUCACCUCAAUCCGUUUGAAGAAGUCUCCUUUGCAGAAAAAACAGGAGAAUCUUGCUGGAAGGAAAGACUCCUUUUCUCCGACAAAGGGCCUAGAAGUGAAGAGGAGUCAACACUGAUAUACACUCAAAAUCUGAAGUCUUAGCGCAAAGUAACUCUAGACUCUAAGCCCACAAUGUCAGGAUCUUUAAAAGAUAUUCAUGGAAAAGGAAAAAGAAGUAUGUCCAGGCGAUAACGACAGGAAAGUAAAGAAGAGCAGAGUAUCUGAGAGGUAAGAAAAGGCCAGAAAGGGAAAGAGGCAGAUAAGAUUCAAGAAAUGAGGAAUGACAAAAAGAUGAAAGGGAGUUAUAAAGGCAUCUGUACGUGAAUAGACGCGGUCAUAAUGGUUCUCGAUAUUCACCCCCUCGGCAGUCAGAGCAAUAACUACCAAGAAGGUGAAGGGGCAAUUGAUGACCGCUGGAUUUCCCUACCCCCAAUCCUGGGCCCAGAUUAUGGCCACGGCCCAUGAAAGGAAGGCCCGCAUGCCCUCUCAAGACAAGCCCAGAUCAUCAGACCCCUGAGGCCGGACUCCACCAGAUUCUUCCUCAUCGAGAUCGGCCCAGCCCAUAUAACCUUCCCAUGGAUUCCUUCUCCUCCUGGGUUCAGCGUCCAACCCAGCUCUCGGCCCAGCCUAGAAUCCAGAACGAGACUCAUCAUACAGCCUGGCAGAUCCGCUCGAAUGUACGCACGGGGGAGAAUCAGAGGCCGUUACGCAUGGAGCAGGCGCCUGAUUCCCUCGUACGCCCAUAUCUGUAUGGCAGAGACGCGUGGCCCAAUCAUGGGAGAGCCGUUAUACGUCACCAGCAAGCAGAACGAAAGGAUAAAAGGGAUACCCCUUUAGAGAGAUGGACUAAACUUUAUUUUUCAAUACCAAAACCCUUGUAAAACCCUAUUCUAUUGGAUCUCAGAUAAUCAAUAUGGAUUUUGAUUAUUUAAUUAAUAAUGAAAUUUAUUUGUAUUGUUAUUCAAAAUAAAUGCAAAAAGUAAUUAAACAAUUUAAUAACUUGGUGGGAUACUUUGACUAAAAAUUUUGAUUUGGAAUUUUCUAAGAAAAAUUGAGAUCUUUUUAUCCGUAUUGCAACUUCGAUACCACUUAACCAUAAAAACUUUAUUUUUUAUUCUCCAUUAAUAAAAUUAAUAACUGUAUAAUUAAAAUUUAAUCAACAUGCUACGUCGACUAGUUUAUCUAAUAGAAAAAAGUCUAUUGGAUAAAAAGAUAUAAAAAUUUAUGACUUUUUAUAUUUAUAUUCUAAUUUUAAAAUUUUAUACAAUAAAAUUAAUCUUUUCACAUUUAUCUUAAUUUUAUCUAUUAAUAUAAAUCAAUUUUGAUAAAAAAAAUUUUUAGUUUAUAUGUUAUAUCACAUAUUUUUGAAAGGUCUAUUGAAUAAAAAAUUUAAAUAUUUAUAUUAAUUCAUAUUUAUAUUCAAAAUUUUAAAUUUUAAAUAAUAAAAUUAAAUAUUUUUUCAAUUUAUUACUAUUAUAAUUAAAAAAAUUAAAUUAAUUUAAAAAAAAAAGUUAACAGUAAAAUAUAAUAUAGUCUCUAAAAUUUUAUUUAAUUAAUAGUACAAACCCCUAAAAUUUUUUAUAAUCAGUUCCAAAAGCUUAACAUUGAAAAAAUAAACAUCAGAUUUAUCAAAAUACUUUUUCAAUUUCAUUGAUAAUGAAUCUUCAUAGCUGCAAUUAAAUUAGUACAAUUAAAAUUUGUAUUUCAAUUUCAUGCUUGUUUGGAAGGAGAUACAAUCGAGUCCUAUGAGAGUUAAAGUUUGUUUGGACAUUCGGCAACCUUUGAAACGGCGGAAGAAGUUUGUUGGAGAUGAUGGUAUUGUGUUUACUGUGAAGUUUCAAUACGAAAAACUUACUAUUUUUUGCUAUCUAUGUGGGAAAUUAGGUCAUGUGGAGGUUUUUUGUGACUUGCGGCUGACUUUGAAGAAAGAAGAUAUCAAGUUUGGUUGAGGUGAUUUCCUCAGAGUACCUGUUCGUCGAAACCAGAGAUCAACAAGCCUAUGGCUGCAUGAUUUCGGCAAUUCUGCUCCGCCAGGAUUUGUAUCAAGCUUGGACAAUUUUAGUUGGUUUUGUCAAGUUGAUGGGACUUUGUUUUAAGUUCAAGAUUUUAUUGGUUACGGUUUUGUUGUGGAAAACUCUGAGAGUAUAUUUCAACAUUGUGUUUCUGAUUUCUCGGAAGAUAAUGGUACGCUGGUAAUUGUUGAAGUUUUAGCUCUUCAUCACUGUUUGCUCUUUACGAUAGAAUUUUUGUCUUUUAAUGGUUACAUUCUUAUGGACUGUUUGCAGGUGAUUCAAACUCUUCAAUUUCCACAUUUAGACAUUUUUGAACUGGAUUUGAUUUUGAAUAAUUGUAAAUCUUUGUUAGAUUCUAAAACUAAUAUUUCUAUUAAAUGAAUUCAUUUUCAUGCCACUCUAUCUGCUUAUACUUUGUCUAGAGAAUUUGUUAGGCAUGAUCGUCUCUCUGUUUGGGAUGACAUCCCUCUUUAUUUGAUAAAUUCUUAUUAAUACAAUCAUUAUUUUUACUUAAAAAAAAUGAUAAAAUUAAAUAUUUUUUCAAUUUAUCACUGUUAUAAUUAGAAGAAUUAAAUUAAUUUUAAAAAAGUUAACAAUAAAAUAUAAUUUAAUCUCUAAAAUUUUAUUUAAUUAAUAGCACAAAUCCCUAAAAUUUUUAGAAAUCAGUCCCAAAAGCCUAACACUGAAAAAAUAAACAUCAGAUUUAUCAAAAUACUUUUUCAAUUUCAUUGAUAAUAAAUCUUCAUAACUGCAAUUAAAUUAGCACAAUUAAAAUUUGUAUUAAUUUUUUUUUAAAAAAACUAAUAUCUUCAAAUAGGGAGUCCUAAUUUCUUUUGGUAAAAAUUUACAUGUGUGACAUUUAAAAAUAGAUCGUAUUAUUCACUAAUGGUUUAUUAUUGAAUUAUCAAUGAAAAAAAAAUCUUUUGAAAUUCGUACAAUAAUGUUUGAUGUUGAAAUUAAAUAAAAGAGAAUUACUUUUUAAAAUUUGCGCAUAUUUAAUAUAGAGAAUAAUGUAAUAAGUUAUCGACUAAAAAAAAUAAUAAAAAGAGAAAAAUUUAAAAUGAUAAAUGAGAAUUCUGGUCUAUUAAAAAUAAGAUGAGAAAGGUUUAAGGUUUUUAUUAAAUGUAACAUAUUCAUCUUCUCCUAAAGGCAAUGGGUUUGGGAAAACAAUCCAUCUCAUGAAAUGAAGUUUCUGGAAUGAUGUUGGAGGAACCAUAACUUGUUGCUUCUGUUGGUCGUCGACUGGCAUGUCCACGAUCUCGUGUACCAUAAUUAUUAGUUUCUUCAAUGAUAAAAGGCUUGAGGCUAGGUUUGGGCUCGUCUGCUUCCUAAAAAAAAAAAAAUAGUGCAGCUCUAUAAGGAGAAAUAUUAUUAAAGGAAAAAAGCAAAAUCACCGAGUAGAUGAACUUUUAGAUUUAUGCUUUAAAGCUUUAAGGUAAAAUAUUCAUCAUAGUUUUUACAGUUUGUUUGAAUAAUUAUAAGAUAAAAAUUAUAUUUCAUUAAUAUGUUAUCAAUUUUGACUAAAAAACUAAUUUAUUCUACAUUUCAAAUUAAAAAAAUUAAUAUUUAUGCAGUUGAAAAUCAACAUUUAUUUCUAAUGUUAAGACAUGAUAGAAAUUAAAUGAAAAUUAAUUUAGGCAUCAAUUAGAUCAAGCUUCAGUAUAAAUAUGCAUAUAAUUUCUAAUAAAUUAACAUAAAAGAGUAUAGAAUAAUACUCGAUUGCAAUUCAUGAUCGUAUAAUUCUUCUGGAGGCAAUAUUCCUUCAAGAACUAGACAUAUCUACAUGACAUAACAAUAAAAUGAUUACAAAUUUUGAGAUAAUAUAUAUAGUUUUGAAAUUACUUAUGUGAAAAAUUUUACCUUUUUCAUCGUUGGACGAGAGUUUGGACGUUGAUUUAUACAAGAAUUAACACAAGAAACCAUUCGAUACAUUUGUUCGUGGUCAAAGGAUUGUAAAUUGAAAUCUACAAAAUUUGUAUAUUCUCCCUCCAAAACCUUUUUAAUAUGAUGAUUUGCCUACAAGAUAUAGAUUAAAAAAUUAUUUAUUAAUGGAUCAUAAAUGCAUUGGAUUAAAAUCUAAAAAACUCCAAUUGAGAUAUAAAUUCAAAACUUUUUAAGUGGUAAAUAGAAUUUUUAUAUCACAGUUUUAUUAAUGCAAAUAGAGCCAUACCCAAGUAACAAUGUCGAUGAUAUUGUCUAUAGGUUUUCUUCCGGUAAUCAGUUCUAAAAGUGUAACUCCAAAAGAAUAAACAUCGGAUUUAUCAGAGUAUUCUCUCAAUUUUGUUGUCAAUGGAUCUUCGUAACUGCAAUGAAAUUUGUUAAGAUUUUUAAUACCAUCAAGUUAAGAAGUACUAAUAUUUUUUUAUGUAUUAUUUUAUCUAUUUUAAUAUUUAUUUUAUUUUAAAUUAUUUUAAGAGAAUAUAAUACUGGCAUUGAAAAAAUAGAAAAUAAUAGCAAUACAAUUAAAUGAUAGAAAGAAAAUUAUAUCUUACACAUGAGUUCCCAUAACUGAUGAUUUGGAUAUGUGAGUAGCACCGUCGGUAAAAAAUUGAGCAAGUCCAAAAUUUGUUAUCUAAACAAAUGAUUUAAGUUGAUUAAGAAAAUAUUAUAUCAUGAAAAAAAGACAAAAAACCUACUAAGGUUGAUUUACUAAUGUUUUUUUAUAAGCAAUCAAUUUUAUUACAAAAAGUCCAAACUAAAAAAGAAUUAGAAUCCAGAUUUAUUAAUUAAUUACAAAAAAUCAAAUUAUGUAAUUAAGGAGUUCACAUAAUUUUUCAAUAUUGUUCAAAAAUAAAAUUUCGGUAUUCAAUAAUUAAAAUUCUGUAUAUAGUGAUGAUAUAAAUAAAAUGUUUAUUUAUUAUAAAAUUACCUUACCUUAGGUUCAAAAUCUUCAUCAAGAAGAAUAUUAUCCGGUUUCAUAUCUAAAUGAAUAAUUUUAGGAUUACCUAAAAAAAUAUAAAAUAUAAAUGUUUGAGAUAAAAAAAUUAAUAUAAAUAAAAAUAAAUAAAUAAAUUCACACUCAAAAGCUAAAAUCCUGCCAAAUAAGAAUGUGUAGUAGUAUAUACUCACAGUGUUCAUGUAAAUAUUCCAAUCCUUUCGCACAACCUACGGCGAUCUUCAUUCUUUUUUCCCAGUCCAAAACAUCCCCACUUCCUACAACACCAUUUGUAAUUUUUAAGAUUUAUCAUGUCAUAUUGAUUAGUUAUACGAACAUAAAAGUAAAAGAAGGGAUAUAUGGAACUCACCAUGUAAUUUAGAUCUCAAGGACCCAUUUGGAAAAUACUUAAAAAUAAGCAAUCUAUUGGCUCCAUGAAUACAGUAACCAACCAGUUCAACGAGGUUUUUGUGACUGAUGCUUUUGACGACCAUAAUCUCCCUCUCCAAACCUUCUUCGAAUUGUACAUCCGGAAAAUCAAGUCUCUUAAUAGCACGGAUCUCACCAUCUAAGGAUGCCUUGAAAACAUGAUCAAACCUGCCUCGACAAAUUAGGUUAUUGAGCGAGAAAUUAUCAGUUACCCUUGCUAGUUCACCGUAUGAAUAUGACUUUGGCCCAAUAGUCUUCUCAGGAGAUGAGCCAGAUUCAUUCUGAUCUGUGCUUAGUGACAAUCAAUAAACAAGAUGUAUAUAAUAUAAGUAAAUCAUUAUGUUUCACAAUCUUUUAAAAGAAAAUUUAACAACUUCAAAAUAGCAAAUGGUUUCAUGGCCAUUGAUAAUAUAUAUUUUUUUCUUAUGAAGAAUUAUUCCUAUUUAUUUACUUUUCCUUAAAUAAUAAAAGAAUAAUAUGUAAAAUUAAUAAAUAAGUCAAUGAACUUGUAAAUUGACUAAAAUGUUAACUAUUUAAUACAAAAAUCCAAUUUAUAUAUUGAUUCCUAAUUAAUAAAUUAAAUAUUUAUAAUUUAUUUUUUUAAUUCUAAAAAACUCUUAACCGAUUUAAAUGUAAAUGUAAUUACAUAUUCAUUUUUAAGAAAUAAUAAAUGAAAUAUGGUAAUUCUUAAUUUUGCACUUUUCAUAUAUAUAAGGGAACAAAGGAGGUUUUCGGUUUUCGGGUGAUAAAUGAUUUUUUUGUUCUUGUCUCCUAUAAUUAUUAAAAAUAACGAAUAAGAUAAAUCAUAAUUCUAUAAAUAAUUAUAUUCAAAUAAAAUUAUAUUUUUAAUCCUGAAAUAUUCAGUACUAUAUAUAUUAACUAUACGUUUUAAUUCAAUGAUUAACAAAUUUAACGAUUAAGAAAUUAUGUAUGAACUUUUAGAUUUAUGUUUUAAAACUUUAAGAUAAAGUUUUCGUCAUUGUUUUUACAGUUUGUUUGAAUAAUUAUAAGAUAAAAAAUAUAUUUAAUUAAUAUGUAUCAAUUUUGGUUAAAAACUAAUUUAUUCUAAAUUUCAAAUUAAAAAACUUAUUUUUGACAGUUGAAAAUUAAAUGACAAUUUAGGCAUCAAUUAGAUCUAUAAAUAUGCAUAUAAUUUAUAAUAAAUUAACAUAAAAUAAUAUGAACCUUUAUAUAUCAUACUACAUUGCAAUUUGUGAUUGUAUAAUUCUUCUGGAAGCGAUUUUCCUUCAAGAACUAAACGUAUCUACAUGACAUAUAUAGCAAUAAAAUAAUUAUAAGUCAAUUAUGUAAUAGGCUUCCACAUAAUUAUAUUGAAAGAUACUUUAAUUAAAUUAAUUAUAGAAACAACUUUUACCUUUUCCAUUGUUGGACGAAAUUUUGGAGAUUGAUUUAAGCAAGAAUUAAUACAAGAAACCAUUCUAUGCAUUUCUUCGUCAUCAAAAGAUUGUACUCUAGAAUCUACAAAAUUUGCAUAUUUUCCAUGUAAAGCCUUUUUAAUGUGAAGAUUUGCCUACAAGAUAAAAUAUAUAUAUAUAUAUAUAUAUAUUUAUUAAUUAAAUGCACUAGAUUAAAAUCUAAAUAGCUCCUAUUCAAAUCUAAAUUCAAAAUUUUACUUUUUUAAAUGACUAUAUAUCGAUGAGAAAAAAAAAAAUCUUUAUGUCAUAGUUUUUAUUAAUGCAAAUAGAGUCAUACCCAAGUAACAAUAUCAAUGCCAUGAUCUAAAGGUUUUCUUCCGGUAAUUAGCUCUAAAAGUGUAACACCAAAAGAAUAAAUAUCAGAUUUAUCAGAAUACUUUCCCAAUUUUAUCGUCAGUGGAUCUUCGUAACUGCAAUUGAAUUGUCACAAUUAAAAUUCAUAUAGAUUUUCUUUAAGAAAAUAAUAUCUUCAAAUUAAGGAGUUUUAAUUUAUUUUUAUGUGCUUUUUUUGUUUUAAUUUUCAUUUUAGAGUAGAUAAUAAUUACAGUGAAAAUGAAAAAGAC
This 23297-nucleotide long non-coding RNA is filed under the name Manihot esculenta (cassava). RNAcentral describes it as "long non-coding RNA (MESC_LNC006957)". Lineage: Eukaryota; Viridiplantae; Streptophyta; Magnoliopsida; Malpighiales; Euphorbiaceae. The record is from RNAcentral.